Molecule: ribosomal RNA, 457 nt
Filed under: uncultured bacterium
Lineage: Bacteria
Description: bacterial SSU rRNA
Rfam family: Bacterial small subunit ribosomal RNA
Source: RNAcentral
UGGCGGCGUGCUUAACACAUGCAAGUCGAACGGAAAGGCCCUGCUUUGUGGGGUGCUCGAGUGGCGAACGGGUGAGUAACACGUGAGUAACCUGCCCUUGACUUUGGGAUAACUUCAGGAAACUGGGGCUAAUACCGGAUAGGAGCUCCUGCUGCAUGGUGGGGGUUGGAAAGUUUCGGCGGUUGGGGAUGGACUCGCGGCUUAUCAGCUUGUUGGUGGGGUAGUGGCUUACCAAGGCUUUGACGGGUAGCCGGCCUGAGAGGGUGACCGGCCACAUUGGGACUGAGAUACGGCCCAGACUCCUACGGGAGGCAGCAGUGGGGAAUAUUGCACAAUGGCGGAAGCCUGAUGCAGCAACGCCGCGUGCGGGAUGACGGCCUUCGGGUUGUAAACCGCUUUCGCCUGUGACGAAGCGUGAGUGACGGUAAUGGGUAAAGAAGCACCGGCUAACUACGUG